This 63-nucleotide transfer RNA is filed under the name Cysteochila chiniana. Its description in RNAcentral is "tRNA-His". The record is from RNAcentral. Lineage: Eukaryota; Metazoa; Arthropoda; Insecta; Hemiptera; Tingidae.
AUUUAAGUAGUUUAAUUUAGAAUAUUAAUUUGUGGUAUUAAGGGUAAAAGUUUUUCUUAAAUU